AUUGAACGCUGGCGGCAUGCCUUACACAUGCAAGUCGAACGGCAGCACGGGUGCUUGCACCUGGUGGCGAGUGGCGAACGGGUGAGUAAUACAUCGGAACAUGUCCUGUAGUGGGGGAUAGCCCGGCGAAAGCCGGAUUAAUACCGCAUACGAUCUACGGAUGACAGCGGGGGACCUUCGGGCCUCGCGCUAUAGGGUUGGCCGAUGGCUGAUUAGCUAGUUGGUGGGGUAAAGGCCUACCAAGGCGACGAUCAGUAGCUGGUCUGAGAGGACGACCAGCCACACUGGGACUGAGACACGGCCCAGACUCCUACGGGAGGCAGCAGUGGGGAAUUUUGGACAAUGGGCGAAAGCCUGAUCCAGCAAUGCCGCGUGUGUGAAGAAGGCCUUCGGGUUGUAAAGCACUUUUGUCCGGAAAGAAAUCCUUGGCCCUAAUACGGUCGGGGGAUGGCGGUACCGGAAGAAUAAGCACCGGCUAACUACGUG
Molecule: ribosomal RNA, 486 nt
Filed under: uncultured bacterium
Lineage: Bacteria
Description: partial 16S ribosomal RNA
Rfam family: Bacterial small subunit ribosomal RNA
Source: RNAcentral